GGAGGAUUAGCUCAGCUGGGAGAGCAUCUGCCUUACAAGCAGGAGGUCGGCGGUUCGAUCCCGUCAUCCUCCACCA
Molecule: transfer RNA, 76 nt
Filed under: Staphylococcus marylandisciuri
Lineage: Bacteria; Bacillati; Bacillota; Bacilli; Caryophanales; Staphylococcaceae
Description: tRNA-Val
Rfam family: tRNA
About the family: Transfer RNA (tRNA) molecules are approximately 80 nucleotides in length. Their secondary structure includes four short double-helical elements and three loops (D, anti-codon, and T loops). Further hydrogen bonds mediate the characteristic L-shaped molecular structure. tRNAs have two regions of fundamental functional importance: the anti-codon, which is responsible for specific mRNA codon recognition, and the 3' end, to which the tRNAs corresponding amino acid is attached (by aminoacyl-tRNA synthetases). tRNAs cope with the degeneracy of the genetic code in two manners: having more than one tRNA (with a specific anti-codon) for a particular amino acid; and 'wobble' base-pairing, i.e. permitting non-standard base-pairing at the 3rd anti-codon position.
Source: RNAcentral